This 1493-nucleotide ribosomal RNA is filed under the name uncultured marine bacterium. RNAcentral describes it as "bacterial SSU rRNA". It matches the Rfam family "Bacterial small subunit ribosomal RNA". The record is from RNAcentral.
GAGUUUGAUCCUGGCUCAGAACGAACGCUGGCGGCAGGCCUAAUACAUGCAAGUUGAGCGCAUCCUUCGGGAUGAGCGGCGGACGGGUUAGUAACGCGUGGGAACGUGCCCUUCUCUAAGGAAUAGCCUCUGGAAACGGAGAGUAAUACCUUAUACGCCCUUUGGGGGAAAGAUUUAUCGGAGAAGGAUCGGCCCGCGUUAGAUUAGAUAGUUGGUGGGGUAACGGCCUACCAAGUCUACGAUCUAUAGCUGGUUUUAGAGGAUGAUCAGCCACAUUGGGACUGAGACACGGCCCAGAUUCCUACGGGAGGCAGCAGUGGGGAAUAUUGGACAAUGGGCGCAAGCCUGAUCCAGCCAUACCGCGUGUGUGAAGAAGGCUUUCGGGUUGUAAAGCACUUUAAGUAAGGAGAAAAAGAUUGUAGUUAAUACCUGCAAUCCUUGAUGUUACUUACAGAAUAAGGACCGGCUAAUUCCGUGCCAGCAGCCGCGGUAAUACGGAAGGUCCAAGCGUUAAUCGGAAUUACUGGGCGUAAAGCGCGCGUAGGUGGUUUUUUAAGUUGGAUGUGAAAGCCCUGGGCUCAACCUAGGAACUGCAUCCAAAACUAGAUGACUAGAGUACGAAAGAGGGAAGUAGAAUUCACAGUGUAGCGGUGGAAUGCGUAGAUAUUGUGAAGAAUACCAAUGGCGAAGGCAGCUUCCUGGUUCUGUACUGACACUAAGGUGCGAAAGCGUGGGUAGCGAACAGGAUUAGAUACCCUGGUAGUCCACGCCGUAAACGAUGACAACUAGCUGUUGGGAGACUAGAUCUCUCAGUGGCGCAGCUAACGCUUUAAGUUGUCCGCCUGGGGAGUACGGCCGCAAGGCUAAAACUCAAAUGAAUUGACGGGGACCCGCACAAGCGGUGGAGCAUGUGGUUUAAUUUGAUGCAACGCGAAAAACCUUACCUACUCUUGACAUACUUGGAAGCUCUUGUAAUGAGAGUGUGCUUUUAGAGCCAAGAUACAGGUGCUGCAUGGCUGUCGUCAGCUCGUGUCGUGAGAUGUUGGGUUAAGUCCCAUAACGAGCGCAACCCUUACCCUUAUUUGCCAGCGGUUCGGCCGGGAAAUAUAAGGGGACUGCCGGUGACAAACCGGAGGAAGGUGAGGACGACGUCAAGUCAUCAUGGCCCUUACGAGCAGGGCUACACACGUGCUACAAUGGGGAAUACAGACGGACGCUAAAGCGUGAGCUGGUGCUAAUCCUAAAAAAUUUCUCGUAGUCCGGAUUGCAGUCUGCAACUCGACUGCAUGAAGUCGGAAUCGCUAGUAAUCGCGAAUCAGCAUGUCGCGGUGAAUACGUUUUCGGGUCUUGUACACGCCGCCCGUCACACCAUGGAAGUGUGUUGCACCAGAAGUAGGUAGUCUAACCCUAGGGAAGGCGCUUACCACGGUGUGAUCCAUGACUGGGGUGAAGUCGUAACAAAGGUAACCAAGGGCGAAUUCCUAGCCACCCUG